CCUACGGGAGGCAGCAGUGGGGAAUCUUGCACAAUGGAGGAAACUCUGAUGCAGCGAUGCCGCGUGAGUGAAGAGGCCCUUGGGUUGUAAAGCUCUUUCGUCGGGGAAGAAAAUGACUGUACCCGAAUAAGAAGGUCCGGCUAACUUCGUGCCAGCAGCCGCGGUAAUACGAAGGGACCUAGCGUAGUUCGGAAUUACUGGGCUUAAAGAGUUCGUAGGUGGUUAAAAAAGUUGGUGGUGAAAUCCCAGA
RNAcentral lists this ribosomal RNA (250 nucleotides) under uncultured bacterium. RNAcentral's name for it is "partial 16S ribosomal RNA". It matches the Rfam family "Bacterial small subunit ribosomal RNA", at positions 338 to 606 of the family's 1533-position model. The record is from RNAcentral.